Struthio camelus australis is the source of this 1933-nucleotide long non-coding RNA. NCBI's taxonomy places the organism in Eukaryota, Metazoa, Chordata, Aves, Struthioniformes, Struthionidae. The record is from Ensembl.
CUGAAACUGUUGCUCCCAUUUUCCCUUUCCCCCAGCUGACACUUAACAUUUUAAAUGGUUCUGGCUUAUCUGCUCCCUUUUGUGGGGACAGAGGAACCUGUGCUCUGUGUGUGCGUGCAUGCGUGUGUAUCUGUGUGUAUGUAUCUGGCUGCCUGUCAUUACAGCACUAAUGGAAAUACUACACGGAUCACAACUCUCAAUUAGCUCCUCGGGAGAUUGCUGUGACAGCCAGUUACUGAACAGCAAGGCCUGAAGGAAUGAAUUAAUUUGUAGUACACGGCAGUUAGAGUCAUAGUGUUAGCAAUGGAAUGAGACAGCAAUAGACCCUGAUUAGGCUCAGGCUGUCUGAUACAAGAGACUGUUACCUGGUGGAUGUCUGUCUGUCUUUUUCCACGAAAACUUCCUCGUGCUAGGAGGGAUCUUUGGCCAUGAGUGAGAUGAGUUUAGAGCUCUUAGUUUAGUUCCUGGAGUCACUGUCUGCCUGAGGCUAUUUGGCACCUGGCAGUGGCUUUCAUUCAAUGCAGACAAGGGCAUGCUGCUCUCCUCCUGACUUGGAGCCAGGCCAAAGGCACUAAGUGAAUGGUGUUCAGGGAAGGUAACACUACCUUUCUCUCUGUCUUCAAACAACAUCUCUCUUCCUUAUUAGUUCAGAUAUGUGUAUAUCACAGAGGGUAUCCCAAGGCUGCUGCACCAGGGGAUACUGGUGUCUUGCCUUUGUUGUGCUACAAACAGGUAUGUACAGACACAGAAGUGCAAAAUCUGCUCAGUGAGGCAUGAGCAUACAGGGAAUCUUUGUAAAGUGUUCCUGGAAAAAACGGGAAUCGUCACAAACAGCCUGAAGUUUCCAGAGCUGCUUCCUGAAACCAGCCACAAGUUCCCUAUACGGUGAAGUACCGCAUUACAGCCUAACAAUAUAAUUUUCUCUUUCUGCCCUCCUAGUUUUUCAGGUCUGACAUGCAAAGAUUUGCAGUCUCUUAUUCUGAUAUCCACAAAUCUGAAUCCAAAGACAAAUCUUGUCUUUUCUCUAUUGUACAAUGACUUUUUCUUAACACUUGUUUUUAAUAUAUUUUAUAGAGAUGGCUGCCUAGUGUCUAGAGUGGAUUUGUCAGAGCGGGACACCAGACUUUCUCUCCGCUUAGGGAAGAUCAGCUACCUAGCGAGAAGUAUUGUGAAGCUAAUGAAAUUUUGGGCAUACUGCUUGUUUGAAAUGGGACAGAGUCUGACCUCCAGAAGUGUGGCUCAGGAAUGUGUGAAGCACCACAUGGAAAUACACAGAAGAGAGACUGUAUCUUAAGCGCUUUAUAUUCUGGAAAGAGAGAUGCGUGAGUAGUGAGGAAAAGACGAAUAACUCACUGGCCGUGCAACCCCUGAAGGCAGUAGUCCUCUAUUUGUCUGUAAGACAGGACAUUGCAAGCUGCAUUGGCAGAGCCUUUUUCUGCCAUCUUACUGUAUAGGCACAGAUGUGGUCUUUUCUUUUGAAGGACCUUCCUAAGUCAUUCAGUCUGUAGUCCCUGUAUUGUCAACAAACAAAUGGGGUGGUUAACACUACCUGUGUUAAUAGAAAGCUGGAAAUCAAACCUGAGCUCUUUUUAGCACUGGUGUCUUCAUAACUUGAAGUCAGCAAAGUGUCAGUACAAGGGUUUGCAGCUCUAGCAGUGCUCCUCCUGUGGGCGGUGUUGCCUUCGUGUGCUCUUGUUUUGCUUCACUUCAGGUGUGCAAACAAAAGCUGUUGUCCAAAAACCUUUUCGUUUUUGCAGUGUUUGACUCUUUCUUGAUCUUUGUCUGCUUCUCGAAAUAGCUGUCAUGUUGACCCUUACUGCACAUCCUGGCCAGUAAGAGGUGCUUCCCCUUUCCUCCCUGCAGCUGCAUUCUUUGUGCAGAGCUAAGAAGUGCUGUGUUACAUUGCUGUUGCUUUCAGGUGUGUCUCACCCAG